GUGGAAGAAACCUCAAGAACUCUCCAGUCAAAGCCGUCUACUCGGGCGAGUUGUCAUCACUGGAUAGGAAUUCUCGCCAAGGCAUUUGGUCUAUAAGGGAUGAUCUGCAAAUUCCAUCUUCACCAUACUUCCCAGCUUACGCACAAGGGCAAGGUCCACCUCCAAUGGUGCAGGAACGCUUCCAAAGUGUUAUAAGCCAGCUUUUUCAAUAUAGAAG
Molecule: unclassified non-coding RNA, 217 nt
Filed under: Hevea brasiliensis (rubber tree)
Lineage: Eukaryota; Viridiplantae; Streptophyta; Magnoliopsida; Malpighiales; Euphorbiaceae
Source: RNAcentral